This 497-nucleotide ribosomal RNA is filed under the name uncultured bacterium. RNAcentral's name for it is "partial 16S ribosomal RNA". It matches the Rfam family "Bacterial small subunit ribosomal RNA", at positions 28 to 507 of the family's 1533-position model. The record is from RNAcentral.
GAUGAACGCUGGCGGCGUGCCUAAUACAUGCAAGUCGAGCGAACAGACGAGGAGCUUGCUCCUCUGACGUUAGCGGCGGACGGGUGAGUAACACGUGGAUAACCUACCUAUAAGACUGGGAUAACUUCGGGAAACCGGAGCUAAUACCGGAUAAUAUAUUGUACCGCAUGGUUCAAUAGUGAAAGACGGUUUUGCUGUCACUUAUAGAUGGAUCCGCGCCGCAUUAGCUAGUUGGUAAGGUAACGGCUUACCAAGGCAACGAUGCGUAGCCGACCUGAGAGGAUGAUCGGCCACACUGGAACUGAGACACGGUCCAGACUCCUACGGGAGGCAGCAGUAGGGAAUCUUCGACAAUGGGCGAAAGCCUGACGGAGCAACACCGCGUGAGUGAUGAAGGUCUUCGGAUCGUAAAGCUCUGUUGUUAGGGAAGAACAGAUGUGGAAGUAACUAUGGACGUCUUGACGGUACCUAAACAGAAAGCAACGGCUAACUUCGUG